GGCUCAGGAUGAACGCUAGCUACAGGCUUAACACAUGCAAGUCGAGGGGAACGAUAUUGGAAGCUUGCUUCCGAUAGGCGUCGACCGGCGCACGGGUGAGUAACGCGUAUCCAACCUGCCCAUCACUUGGGGAUAACCUUGCGAAAGUAAGACUAAUACCCAAUGACGUCUCUAGAAGACAUCUGAAAGAGAUUAAAGAUUUAUCGGUGAUGGAUGGGGAUGCGUCUGAUUAGCUUGUUGGCGGGGUAACGGCCCACCAAGGCGACGAUCAGUAGGGGUUCUGAGAGGAAGGUCCCCCACAUUGGAACUGAGACACGGUCCAAACUCCUACGGGAGGCAGCAGUGAGGAAUAUUGGUCAAUGGACGAGAGUCUGAACCAGCCAAGUAGCGUGCAGGAUGACGGCCCUAUGGGUUGUAAACUGCUUUUAUAAGGGAAUAAAGUGAGUCUCGUGAGACUUUUUGCAUGUACCUUAUGAAUAAGGACCGGCUAAUUCCGUG
RNAcentral lists this ribosomal RNA (498 nucleotides) under uncultured bacterium. Its description in RNAcentral is "bacterial SSU rRNA". It matches the Rfam family "Bacterial small subunit ribosomal RNA", at positions 21 to 507 of the family's 1533-position model. The record is from RNAcentral.